UACGUAGGGUGCAAGCGUUAAUCGGAAUUACUGGGCGUAAAGCGUGCGCAGGCGUCUUGCAAGACAGAUGUGAAAUCCCCGGGCUCAACCUGGGAACUGCAUUUGUGACUGCAAGGCUGGAGUGCGGCAGAGGGGGAUGGAAUUCCGCGUGUAGCAGUGAAAUGCGUAGAUAUGCGGAGGAACACCGAUGGCGAAGGCAAUCCCCUGGGCCUGCACUGACGCUCAUGCACGAAAGCGUGGGGAGCAAACAGG
RNAcentral lists this ribosomal RNA (252 nucleotides) under uncultured bacterium. Its description in RNAcentral is "partial 16S ribosomal RNA". It matches the Rfam family "Bacterial small subunit ribosomal RNA", at positions 524 to 776 of the family's 1533-position model. The record is from RNAcentral.